AGGACGAACGCUGGCGGCGUGCUUAACACAUGCAAGUCGAGCGGUAAGGCUCCUUCGGGAGUACACGAGCGGCGAACGGGUGAGUAACACGUGAGCAAUCUGCCCUUCUCUUCGGAAUAACCAUUGGAAACGAUGGCUAAUGCCGAAUACGACCUCCUUUCGCAUGAUCGGAGGUGGAAAGCUCCGGCGGAGAAGGAUGAGCUCGCGGCCUAUCAGCUAGUUGGCGGGGUAACGGCCCACCAAGGCGACGACGGGUAGCCGGCCUGAGAGGGUGACCGGCCACACUGGGACUGAGACACGGCCCAGACCUCCUACGGGAGGCAGCAGGUGGGGAAUAGUUGGACAAGUGGGACGAAAGCCUGAUCCAGCAACGCCGCGUGAGGAUGGACGGCCGUUCGGGUACGUAACCUCUUUCGAGUCGAGGACGAAGGCGAAAGUGACGUACUAGACGAGGAAGAACGGACCGGACAACUACGUGACCAGCGAGCCGUACGGUAACUCGUAGGACGUCGGG
This 514-nucleotide ribosomal RNA is filed under the name uncultured soil bacterium. RNAcentral's name for it is "bacterial SSU rRNA". It matches the Rfam family "Bacterial small subunit ribosomal RNA", at positions 26 to 538 of the family's 1533-position model. The record is from RNAcentral.